UUUGGUUAAGUUAGAAAGGGCGCACGGUGGAUGCCUUGACACUAGGAGUCGAUGAAGGACGGGACUAACGCCGAUAUGCUUCGGGGAGCUGUAAGUAAGCUUUGAUCCGAAGAUUUCCGAAUGGGGAAACCCACCAUACGUAAUGGUAUGGUAUCCUUAUCUGAAUACAUAGGGUAAGGAAGACAGAC
RNAcentral lists this ribosomal RNA (188 nucleotides) under Bacillus anthracis (anthrax bacterium). RNAcentral describes it as "partial 23S ribosomal RNA". It matches the Rfam family "Bacterial large subunit ribosomal RNA", at positions 1 to 184 of the family's 2925-position model. The record is from RNAcentral. Lineage: Bacteria; Bacillati; Bacillota; Bacilli; Caryophanales; Bacillaceae.